Molecule: long non-coding RNA, 235 nt
Filed under: Amborella trichopoda
Lineage: Eukaryota; Viridiplantae; Streptophyta; Magnoliopsida; Amborellales; Amborellaceae
Description: long non-coding RNA (ATRI_LNC003240)
Source: RNAcentral
AGCGACAACUGCGCCAUCUAUGGAAGCUCUAGAAAUGUGUCUAGAAAAGCUGGAGAUAAGAAAACAUUGGUGAUUUAGAGAGAGAAACAGAAACAUAAGUAGUGAUUUAGAAAGAAACAGAAACAUUGGUGAUUUAGAGACAGAAACAGAAACAUAAGUAGUGAUUUAGAAAGAAACAGAAACAUAAGCAAGUAGUGAUUUACAGAGAGAAAAAGAAACAUAAGUAAAGGAUCAA